RNAcentral lists this long non-coding RNA (1457 nucleotides) under Takifugu rubripes (torafugu). RNAcentral's name for it is "lncRNA (ENSTRUG00000033161.1)". Lineage: Eukaryota; Metazoa; Chordata; Actinopteri; Tetraodontiformes; Tetraodontidae. The record is from RNAcentral.
CAGCCUGCCACCAGGGGGCGACUGAAUCGAAAACAAGCUUUUUAGAGGAAGCUAAUUUUUACUUGUUACUUUCGAUUUUGAUCCGACUCGUAAAAAAUGUUGGAACUUUAAAUGUUUGUGAAAUUUAAACGCCCGAGAGGCAGGAGGAGAGGAAGGCAACUCCGAGUCCACAAACCUUACGGAACGGCUACUUUCAACGUGCGACACGGGCCGGACACUUCAGGGACCAUCGGUAAACUGGGACGCUUUAGCUGCUGACGAGGCCUUCGGGCGCUCCUUGAAAAUCUAAAUCAGCUCCUUCUUCUUUCCCACCAAUUACGCUCGUCUGUGGCGCCACAUUGCACUUUUGGACCCUCGUCAACGGGGUGAUGAGGCGAUUCUGUGCUCGUGUGAAACGGUGUUGGCACCCGCCGCCGCUCGCAUUCAGCCCACAUAUAAACCCUUCGCCGCCCCCGUUUCUCCUCCCCCGGCGACGCAGACGGCACAAUAGCCUCAGUGAGCGGUGACGAUUAACACAUAAAAGCGACACGGGGAAUCUCGCUGCUCGAUACGAGCGCGCAUGAGAGGGCGAAGCAUUCAUGGCCUGCCAACCCGUUCAGCGGGAGCCGCUUCUAUCUGAUUGGUGAUCUUUUGUUUUGGCGCUGCCCUCCAUUUCCAAGGGAACGCACCCAAUCAGAUUAGACGGAGCGGAGGCACUUUUCUAUUUAAAAGACUUAAAGACACAAACUUUAGCUCCGCCCCCCUGCGGGGUCCCGACGUGACACCGGGAUUAAAAUCUGAGCGCGAUCUGAUCUCCGCCGCUUCAUCUGAGCCCUCGGCCGCUGAGAAAGUGACAGAAGAAGAAGAAGAGCGUGUGUGGACGCCUUUAAACUGCAGAGAGCAGCAGUCGUCUUCCAAACGGAGAGCUGUAGUUGUGUGUGUGUGUGGUGUGUGUGUGUGGUUUGUGUGUGUGUGGUGUGUGUGUGUGUGUGGGGGGGGGGGGGUAAAUUACAGGCUACAUUCAGACGCCACGUCGUCAUUUACAUGAACUGUCACGCAAGAAAAAGAUGAAAUGAGGAUUGUUUUCAUCUGCGCGCGCUCCAACAGACCACUUGACCACUGAAGUCACGGCUAUUAUGUCAUUAUGCCUUCAGCCAAUCACAGCGCGGCACCCUCACUUUCACCGUCCAGGGGGGGCUCGGGGGCGACACCUGUGUAUAAUGAAUGCCCCGCCCACUUUAACUCCACCUGGGGUCACGUGAGCGCGUUCAAGUCAUCAAUGGGCUGUUUCCACGGGAGGCGACGUCAACAUUAAUAAUAAUCAGGAAGUUGAUGCGACAUUGACGCAGAUGCAGCGCGGCAGCUCGUAAGGAAGCACGGAAGUGACAUAAAAUGGAAUAAAUUCCUUUAAAAAUGCGGAAUGGAUGAAAAAAGUAUCGCUCAUCUUCGUGUGUUAUCAAAGAUAAAUAAAGAUUUUU